GCCAGGCGUGGUGGUGCGUGCCUGUAAUCCCAGCAGCUCAGGAGGCUGAGGCAGGAAGAUCACAAGUUCAAAGCCAGCCUCAACAAUAUAGUGAGGCCCUGAACAACUCAGUGAGAACCUGUCUCUA
Molecule: small RNA, 127 nt
Filed under: Marmota monax (woodchuck)
Lineage: Eukaryota; Metazoa; Chordata; Mammalia; Rodentia; Sciuridae
Source: RNAcentral